Molecule: ribosomal RNA, 96 nt
Filed under: uncultured eukaryote
Lineage: Eukaryota
Description: partial small subunit ribosomal RNA
Source: RNAcentral
UCGUUGUUUCCGAUGAUGGUGCAAUACAGGUGAUCGGAUAGAUGGGUGUUUCAUCCGUCUCGAAGUUCACCGAUAUUUCUUCAAUAGAGGAAGCAA